RNAcentral lists this ribosomal RNA (321 nucleotides) under Triticum aestivum (bread wheat). RNAcentral describes it as "partial small subunit ribosomal RNA". Lineage: Eukaryota; Viridiplantae; Streptophyta; Magnoliopsida; Poales; Poaceae. The record is from RNAcentral.
CCUAGUCGCCGGCGGGCGGGACGGAGCCGGCUCCCCCGAUCGCGGGAUCGCCGCGCGCGCGGGUACGGGGAGGGAGCGAGGGCGCGGCGGGCGGGCGGCGAGGAGGCGCGCGGCCAUACGGCGGGGGGAGGGGAGAGGGCCGAGCUGCUGGUGGGGGUGGAGAGGGCCGGUGAGGCCGCCCGGAGAUUUGCCGCCGCAUGGGAUCCGGCGGUCGACGGGUGGAGCCGCGCGAGCGCCAUGCUCGUCGGCGCACGCGGCGGGGAAGGGGAGACGGCGAGAGGAAAUCAGUGAGUGUAGGGGAGUGUGGUGAGUGAGUGGGGA